GCGAGUGUGAUGUAGUCGGUAGCAUCUGAGUGCGCCACAUUCAGUGUGCGAGUUCAAGUCUCGCCACUCGCU
This 72-nucleotide transfer RNA is filed under the name Nostoc sp. NIES-4103. RNAcentral's name for it is "tRNA-Gly". The record is from RNAcentral. Lineage: Bacteria; Bacillati; Cyanobacteriota; Cyanophyceae; Nostocales; Nostocaceae.